UACGUAGGGGGCAAGCGUUAUCCGGAUUCAUUGGGCGUAAAGAGCGCGUAGGCGGAUUGUUAAGCGCGAUGUGAAAACUGGGGGCUCAACCCGCAGCCUGCAUCGCGAACUGGCAGUCUUGAGUCUGGUAGAGGAGUGUGGAAUUCCCAGUGUAGCGGUGAAAUGCGCAGAUAUUGGGAGGAACACCAGUGGCGAAGGCGGCACUCUGGGCCACGACUGACGCUGAGGCGCGAAAGCUAGGGGAGCGAAC
Molecule: ribosomal RNA, 250 nt
Filed under: uncultured bacterium
Lineage: Bacteria
Description: partial 16S ribosomal RNA
Rfam family: Bacterial small subunit ribosomal RNA
Source: RNAcentral